UUUUUUAAGAGUUUGAUCCUGGCUCAGGAUGAAUGUUGGCGGCGUGCCUGAGAUAUGCAAGUCGAACGCCCUCCCGACGCAAGUCGGGGGGAGUGGCGGACGGCUGAGUAACGCGUAGGAACCUACCCCUUUCUGGAAUAUAGCUCGCCGAAAGGCGGGGUAAUAGUCCAUGAUGUCCCGCUCUGCGGGAUUAAAGAGUGUAACUACUUGGAAAGGGAUGAGCCUGCGUCUUAUCAUUGGUAGUUGGUAGGGUAACUGCCUACCAAGCCUAUAACGAGUAGCUGGUCUUAGAGGAUGGUCAGCCAGAGGGGGACUGAGACACGGCCCCCACUCCUACGGGAGGCAGCAAUCAGGAAUAGUCGGCAAUGGGCGAAAGCCUGACCGCGCGACGCCGCGUGUAGGAAGAAAUUCUAACGAAUGUAAACUACUGUAGUAGGGGAUAAAGGUCCGACGUUACGUCGGACUUGAUAGUACCCUGCUAGAAAGGGGCCGCUAACUGCGUGCCAGAAGCGUCGGUAAUACGUGGGCCCCGAACAUUAUCCGGUUUUAUUGGGUGUAAAAAGUAGUGUAGGUGUCCUGUUAAGUUUUGCUUUAAAUACUGUAGCUUAACUAUAGGAAAGGGUAAAAUACUGACAGGAUUGAGUUAUCUUUAGGGAGAUUGGAACUCAAGGAGGAGUAGUGAAAUGCGUUGAUACCUUGGGGAACACCAGUGGCGAAGGCGAAUCUCUGAAAGAUAACUGACACUGAGACACGAAAGCUAGGGGAGCGAAGCAGAUUAGAGACCUGCGUAGUCCUAGCCUUAAACCAUGCUUGCUAGCCGCAUUUUUUCACCUUCGGGUGAAGGAGUGUAGCGAAGGUAACCCGUUAAGCAAGCUACCUGGGGAGUACGACCGCAAGGUUAAAACUCAAAGGAAUUGGCGGGGAGGCACACAACCAGUGGAACAUGUGGUUCAAUUCGAUACGAACCGAAAAACCUCACCAGGGUUUGACAUACUACCGUUUAUUCCGCUAGAAAUAGUGGGAAAUCCGCAAGGAUGGUAGCACAGGUGCUGCAUGGCUGUCGUCAGCUCGUUCCGUGAGGAGUGCCCUUAAGUGAGACAACGAGCGCAACCCCUAUCUUGUGUUAAAUCUGUCACAAGACACGGUCCCGACUUAGUCGGGAAGGAAGGAGGGGCAGACGUCAAGUCAGCAUGGCCCUUAUACCCUGGGCCACACACAUGUUACAAUGGGAUGAGCAACGGGCUUUGCCAAACGGUAACGUUGAGCAAAUCCCUCAAACCAUCCCUCAGUGGGGAUUGAGGUCUGCAACUCGACCUCAUGAACGCGGAAUUGGUAGUAAUCGCGGAUCAGUCAUGCCGCGGUGAAUACGUUCUUGCCUCUUGCACACACCGCCCGUCAAGCCAACAAAGUCGGGGAUAUUUGAAUCUUACCUAUGGUAGGAGAGAAUAUCAUCGGCGAUGGGGGUUAAGUCGUAACAAGGUAACCGUUUUGGAAGAAGCGGUUGGAUCACCUCCUU
This 1516-nucleotide ribosomal RNA is filed under the name Candidatus Roizmanbacteria bacterium CG_4_9_14_0_2_um_filter_36_12. RNAcentral's name for it is "bacterial SSU rRNA". It matches the Rfam family "Bacterial small subunit ribosomal RNA". Lineage: Bacteria; Candidatus Roizmaniibacteriota. The record is from RNAcentral. RNAcentral also lists the same sequence under 2 other names.